Molecule: ribosomal RNA, 458 nt
Filed under: uncultured bacterium
Lineage: Bacteria
Description: partial 16S ribosomal RNA
Rfam family: Bacterial small subunit ribosomal RNA
Source: RNAcentral
CCUACGGGAGGCAGCAGUGAGGAAUAUUGGUCAAUGGGCGAGAGCCUGAACCAGCCAAGUCGCGUGAGGGAGUACUGCCCUAUGGGUUGUAAACCUCUUUUGUCGGGGAGCAAAAGCCGGACGUGUCCGGCUGUGAGAGUACCCGACGAAAAAGCAUCGGCUAACUCCGUGCCAGCAGCCGCGGUAAUACGGAGGAUGCGAGCGUUAUCCGGAUUUAUUGGGUUUAAAGGGUGCGCAGGCGGAUUUUUAAGUCAGCGGUAAAAUCGUGGGGCUCAACCCCAUCCAGCCGUUGAAACUGGGGAUCUAGAGUGUGCGAGAGGUAUGCGGAAUGCGUGGUGUAGCGGUGAAAUGCAUAGAUAUCACGCAGAACCCCGAUUGCGAAGGCAGCAUACCGGUGCACAACUGACGCUCAGGCACGAAAGCGUGGGUAUCGAACAGGAUUAGAUACCCCUGUAGUC